AAAACAUCGCCUCCUGCAACGCAACUGUGUAUAGGAGGUCCAGCCUGCCCAGUGACUACAAGUUCAACGGCCGCGGUAUUUUGACCGUGCAAAGGUAGCGCAAUCACUUGUCUUUUAAAUAGAGACCUGUAUGAAUGGUUAAACGAGGGCUUAACUGUCUCCCCUUUCCAGUCAGUGAAAUUGAUCUGCCCGUGCAGAAGCGGACAUAAAAAUACAAGACGAGAAGACCCUUUGGAGCUUAAGGUACAAAAUUCAACCACGUCAAACAACUCACUAAAAAGCAAAAACCUUGUGGAACAUGAAAUUCUACCUUCGGUUGGGGCGACCACGGAGAAAAACAAAGCCUCCAAGUGGAUUGGGAGAACCUCCUAAAACCAAGAGAGACAUCUCUAAGCCACAGAACAUCUGACCAAACAUGAUCCGGCUACCCAAAGCCGAUCAACGAACCAAGUUACCCUAGGGAUAACAGCGCAAUCCUCUCCCAGAGUCCAUAUCGACGAGAGGGUUUACGACCUCGAUGUUGGAUCAGGACAUCCUAAUGGUGCAGCCGCUAUUAAGGGUUCGUUUGUUCAACGAUUAAAGUCCUACGUGA
RNAcentral lists this ribosomal RNA (592 nucleotides) under Labeo coubie. Its description in RNAcentral is "partial 16S ribosomal RNA". It matches the Rfam family "Bacterial large subunit ribosomal RNA", at positions 1810 to 2603 of the family's 2925-position model. Lineage: Eukaryota; Metazoa; Chordata; Actinopteri; Cypriniformes; Cyprinidae. The record is from RNAcentral.